UACGUAGGGUGCGAGCGUUACUCGGAAUUACUGGGCGUAAAGCGUGCGCAGGCGGUUCGUUAAGUCAGCUGUGAAAGCCCCGAGCUUAACUUCGGAAUUGCGGUUGAAACUGGCGGACUAGAAUCUGGCAGAGGGGGGUGGAAUUCCACGUGUAGCAGUGAAAUGCGUAGAGAUGUGGAGGAACACCGAUGGCGAAGGCAGCCCCCUGGGCUGAGAUUGACGCUCAGGCACGAAAGCGUGGGGAGCAAACAGG
This 253-nucleotide ribosomal RNA is filed under the name uncultured bacterium. RNAcentral describes it as "partial 16S ribosomal RNA". It matches the Rfam family "Bacterial small subunit ribosomal RNA", at positions 524 to 776 of the family's 1533-position model. The record is from RNAcentral.